Molecule: ribosomal RNA, 467 nt
Filed under: uncultured bacterium
Lineage: Bacteria
Description: partial 16S ribosomal RNA
Rfam family: Bacterial small subunit ribosomal RNA
Source: RNAcentral
GAUGAACGCUGGCGGCGCGCCUAACACAUGCAAGUCGAACGAUUAAAGCACCUUCGGGUGUGUAUAAAGUGGCGAACGGCUGAGUAACACGUGGGCAACCUGCCCCUUUCAUUGGGAUAGCCACGGGAAACCGUGGAUAAUACCGAAUACUUCGAGACUUCCGCAUGGAAGACUCGAGAAAGCUCCGGCGGAGAGGGAUGGGCCCGCGGCCUGUUAGCUUGUUGGUGGGGUAACGGCCUACCAAGGCAAUGAUGGGUAGCUGGGUUGAGAGACCGACCAGCCAGAUGGGGACUGAGACACGGCCCAGUCUCCUACGGGAGGCAGCAGUGGGGAAUCUGGCACAAUGGGCGAAAGCCUGAUGCAGCGACGCCGCGUGCGGGAUGAAGGCCUUCGGGUUGUAAACCGCUUUCAGCAGGGACGAGGCGAAAGUGACGGUACCUGCAGAAGAAGCCCCGGCUAACUACGUG